AGUGAACGCUGGCGGUAGGCCUAACACAUGCAAGUCGAACGGCAGCACAGUAAGAGCUUGCUCUUACGGGUGGCGAGUGGCGGACGGGUGAGGAAUACAUCGGAAUCUACUUUUUCGUGGGGGAUAACGUAGGGAAACUUACGCUACUACCGCAUACGACCUACGGGUGAAAGCAGGGGAUCUUCGGACCUUGCGCGAUUGAAUGAGCCGAUGUCGGAUUAGCUAGUUGGCGGGGUAAAGGCCCACCAAGGCGACGAUCCGUAGCUGGUCUGAGAGGAUGAUCAGCCACACUGGAACUGAGACACGGUCCAGACUCCUACGGGAGGCAGCAGUGGGGAAUAUUGGACAAUGGGCGCAAGCCUGAUCCAGCCAUACCGCGUGGGUGAAGAAGGCCUUCGGGUUGUAAAGCCCUUUUGUUGGGAAAGAAAAGCAGCAGGUUAAUACCCCGCUGUUCUGACGGUACCCAAAGAAUAAGCACCGGCUAACUUCGUG
This 492-nucleotide ribosomal RNA is filed under the name uncultured bacterium. Its description in RNAcentral is "partial 16S ribosomal RNA". It matches the Rfam family "Bacterial small subunit ribosomal RNA", at positions 29 to 507 of the family's 1533-position model. The record is from RNAcentral.